CCAUAUCAAUUAAAAUAAUCAGAGUUGAGAUUUUUUAAAAACAAUUCAGAUCUGAAGUUACAAGUGACAAUUCUUUAGAAGUAAAUUAGAUCCAAAACUGCUUUAUUUUCCUCCCUUAGUCUCCCCUUCCUCCAUCCAUUAUGGUGACGAUGAAAUGGCAGAAUCGAUGAUUCCUUUGAUGUCGAUGCAAAUAAAGAGAUAUAAUCAAC
This 209-nucleotide long non-coding RNA is filed under the name Medicago truncatula (barrel medic). RNAcentral describes it as "long non-coding RNA (MTRU_LNC000321)". Lineage: Eukaryota; Viridiplantae; Streptophyta; Magnoliopsida; Fabales; Fabaceae. The record is from RNAcentral.